Oncorhynchus tshawytscha (Chinook salmon) is the source of this 825-nucleotide long non-coding RNA. NCBI's taxonomy places the organism in Eukaryota, Metazoa, Chordata, Actinopteri, Salmoniformes, Salmonidae. The record is from Ensembl.
AGAGACUGUAGCUGUGGAGAGACUGUAGCUGUGUUGAGGUUGCAGCUUUGGAGAGGCUGUAGCUGUGGAGAGGCUGUAGCUGUGGAGAGACUGUAGCUGUGGAGACUGUAGCUGUGGAGAGACUGUAGCUGUGGAGAGACUGUAGCUGUGGAGAGGUUGUAGCUGUGGAGAGUCUGUAGCUGUGGAGAGGUUGUAGCUGUGGAGAGGCUGUAGCUGUGGAGAGACUGUAGCUGUGGAGAGACUGUAGCUGUGGAGAGACUGUAGCUGUGUUGAGGUUGCAGCUUUGGAGAGGCUGUAGCUGUGGAGAGACUGUAGCUGUGGAGAGGUUGUAGCUGUGGAGAGGCUGUAGCUGUGGAGAGACUGUAGCUGUGGAGAGACUUUAACUGUGGAGAGACUGUAGCUGUGGAGAGACUGUAGCUGUGGAGAUUUUGUAGCUGUGGAGAUUUUGUAGCUCUGGAGAGACUGUAGCUCUGGAGAGACUGUAGCUGUGGAGAGGUUGUAGCUGUGGAGAGACUGUAGCUGUGGAGAGACUGUAGCUGUGGAGGCUGUAGCUGUGGAGAGACUGUAGCUGUGGAGAGUCUGUAGCGUGGAGAGACUGUAGCUGUGGAGAGGUUGUAGCUGUGGAGAGGUUGUAGCUGUGGAGAGACUGUAGCUGUGGAGAGGUUGUAGCUGUGGAGAGGUUGUAUCUGUGGAGAGGUUGUAGCUGUGGAGAGGUUGUAGCUGUGGAGAGGUUGUAGCUGUGGAGGUUGUAGCUGUGGAGAAGUUGUAUCUGUGGAGAGGUUGUAUCUGUGGAGAGGUUGUAGCUGUGGAGAGACUAGCUGUGGA